Molecule: RNA transcript, 5551 nt
Organism: Apis laboriosa (Himalayan honeybee)
Lineage: Eukaryota; Metazoa; Arthropoda; Insecta; Hymenoptera; Apidae
Gene: tara
Exons: 4
Source: RefSeq, a predicted model, not a curated record
UGAGAGUCGUGUCGUUUACUCGAAGUGAUCGUGUGGUGUUACUUGACGAGAUAGUCAGGCGGUAUUCUAAAACACGACGUACAAGCAAACAGCGACAAAUACAGCUACAAACGUGAGUGCAUUUCGUGAGACUGUGAGAAAGAAAACGAACAGAGCGUUUCACGGAGCGCACACCGACGGUGGAGCUUCGAUUUCACAUACUGUUUUUUCACUGAAAACAAAAAACCAUAGCGCUACACUGUGUAUGGUACACGAGCGAUCCAAGAUGCUGUCGUCAGUGCCAGCGAAAUAAUAAUGUGGUGCGACGUUAGUCAGGAAUUGGAAGAUUUACAUUGCCGGCGUUACUCGUACAAACUUCCCAUCGCUAAUUACCAACCAACGACGGGAUCGAGCAAUCGAGUUGUGCAAUGAUGGGUCUGCAGGCCACGGCAGGGAAACGUAAACUGGAGGGAGGUGUGGGCUGCAUGGAGUUCGACAUGGAUAUGGGCGAAAGCCCAUCGAAGUUAGGCCGAGUGGAGGGUAGCUGGUGGGCGAUGGAGGAUAGUUACACGCCCCCGCUUAGCCAAACACCGGCUUCUUAUUACGAUAUGGAAGUGAGUCCGCCUUGCCUGCAGACAAAUCCUUGUCAACCAACAUCGACGAGUCCUCAACAACAGCAACAACAACAGCAACAUCAGACGGCACAGCAACAACAGCAACAAUCAUCGACGCCAACAUCAGCGCCUCCACCGUCUACGGUGGCGCACCUACACCAUCAUCCGCAGCACUACUAUCACCAUCAACGCGGACCUACUAGUCCGGUCGGUAAUAAUGGUUACAGUCAACUGUCGAGGCCUCAGCCGCAAUGGGGAGCGCCUCAUCAUUAUGAACCUCCAACGAUACGGCGAGAAGAAAACGGAAAAAGUUAUUUGGAGCUUGGAUCUAGUUAUCGAGCAAAUGAUAGAUGCUGCGAAGGUUCGAGGUCAAGUUGGUGUCGACGUGGCAGAGCGUGUUAUAGACAAAGACGACUAGCCGUAUUAAAUAUUUCAAUGUGCAAGCUGGCGAGGUAUCGCCAAUUUCCAGAUCCAAGCCUUCAUCGAUCGGUUCUCAUCUGCAAUACAUUGAGGCAUCUAGAACGCGAAAUGGAGAGGGACAGAAGUCCACCGCCCAUGGAGCCAGUUAUACCAGCACCUAUUGCUCAACUUCAACCUCCUGAGCAGGGCAGGUUAACGCCAUUUCCAAUGCCACCAACGUCUUCAAACGAGACAGACGUCGAUUCUGGUAUCGGUGAUAGCGAUGAUAGUCGUUCGAUUAACUGGGGCAGUGUGCUAUCUCUUUCGAGUCAGUCGCCCUUAGAUCCACUAAACAACAACGAGUUACUGGAUGUCGAUAUUGGUCCGGAUCUAGAUUUAGACUUCAUGCCUGGAUGGAAAUUGACACCUCUAUCUGCGGACGAUAUUCUUAGGAGUACAACGGCGCAAGAACAGCAACAUCAGCAACAUCAUCAUCAUCAGCAACAGCAACAGCAUCUGGUGUCAACCAGCGGUAGCUGUGCCAAUAGCAAUGUGGCCAGUGCCUGCGUUAGUACUGGAAGUAGCAGUAGUACGCACGAAUCGUUAAUGUGCGUUGGAUCAUAGCCCCCAAUUUUGACAUCGUUGAGUCAUCUCAUCGAUUUUUACCCAUUGAUGCCGCAGAGCAAAUAAGUAUGCGGCAUUUACAAAGAACCACAAAUCAAGAUGUAGAGACGACGCAGUCGCCCGCCUCACGAAUUAUUUGCAACGCCUGGUCGGCGAUUCUCCAGGAGGUCUUCUUUUUCUUAUUUAUUACCAUUCGUGUCAAUUACGCACCGAUCGAUUAUCUCGGUUACGUUCUACUUCGUAUUACACCGGUAACCAGCAUGGGUGGUCUACUCCUUAUGGACGAGGAGGUAUGAGACGUGAUACCUCCUGUGUUCGCAGGUGCAACUGGUGCAGAAUUCAUGGCCCAUUGGAAAUAUUUAAAAUUCAAAGGAAAUAGAGUUAACGAACAACGCGAGAUCGGGUCCUCCUCCGGAUCAUCAUCAACGACCACCUCAAAACGAGCCUGGUUAUACUAUAUCGAAACGAUCUGUUUUUGCAGCUGCACCUGCGAAUUCAGCGGCACAUGUAUGAGUUCCCGAGUCGCUCGAAAUGUCGCCACCGGCACGUCAGACAGAAAGAAAUAGAAUGAGAGAAUGAAAAAAGAGGGAGAAAAGGGGGGGGGAAGAGCGAGAGAAAUAGAGUGAGAGAGCGACAGGGAAAAAGAGAGAAAGUGAAAAGAGCUCAAUGUUCACGCCCCCGGGCCGGCGAUACGGUAGGACAAGUACCUACAGGACCUAUGUAGCCUUCGACUCUUUAAAACAACGAUGACAAACGGCACGGUACUUCGACAGACUGGAAAAAAAAUUUCUUCUUCUUUCUACAUUUCUUGAUUUUCUUUUAAUUUUUUUAAUUUUUUUGUUUUUCCUUUUUUUUUUUUACAAUUGAUUCAAACAGCACGAUAUCGCUUGCCUAGCUGGCUGACGUUGAGAACUCUUCGGCGAUGCCUUGGCGUCGUUUGCGACAGCCAAUCGAAAAGGGAGUGUCCAUCAUCAUCGAUCGCUGUUUUCUCUUUGGAUUAGAAAGACUAUCCAGGCGACGAUUAAUUAAUGCCAUACACUGUAACACACUAACGAUACAUUACACGCGUAAGACAUAACCGCCGUGGCCUAUACCGUACACUGAUAAAUACAUACACGUACACACGCGCGUAUACACCCAUAUAUAAAUAUACAUACAUAUGUAUAUGUACAUCAGACAGAUAUACAGGUUCGUACACAGAAAAGUCGAUAUAUGGUGCUAGGACGAUCACACCCUGGUGCUUAAUUCUGUACACACAGAGCCAUGUGCGUAAAUUCGCACGGAUCGCCUGCAGCCUUCGUCGAGGAGUCUAGAUACGUCCUGACGUCGUGAACAGAACAUAGAUGGUCGAACAUAUUUCCAUUGUGUGAUAUCCGAUACGAAGCGAAAUUAAUUAUAGUAGCAUCAAUAUCGUUCCUGAAUUCUCGAAGGCUUUCGACGAUUAUUAAGGGAAUAUCAUAUGCCGAUGGAUGGAGAUAUGUUAGUGAAAAUGCGUACUAUGUUCUGACGCACGAUGCUAACAAAUGUACCUGCAUUUUAGAGAUCGGGAUAAAUAUCGGUUCCUUCGUAUCAUCGCACGUAGGCCACUGCGCGCCACUGAUCUCCCGUUAAUAAUAUGUACCAUAAUACUAUUGUAAAAUAGAGUGGCCGACGAGCAAAGAACGAAGGGAGCCAAUAAUUCACUUGGAGUGUGGAACGGAGAGAUUAUUAAGAGAGAAGAAAAAAAAAAAAAAAUAAUAAAAUAAAACUCGACGAUACGCACUUCGCGAAGAGGAAUGGCGAUCCGCGCGCGAUCUCGUCCUCAACGUCCACUAACUGAACUCAAAAGAGCAGCUAUACUUAAAUCGAAAUUAAGCGUUGUAAAGCGGAUUUAAAAACGAACGAUAAAGCGAUAUACAAUAAUUUAUAAAUCGACUGAUUACUUGUGUGAGGGAAUGAAAAAAGAUAGGAAAAAAAGAAAAAACAAGAGAGAAAGAAACGAAAAAAAGAAAACUCUACUGGUAACGUUUCACGAGUUGAUUUAAAACUGUAAUUAAUUCAAUAUUAAGCCGACAUAUACAUUAACACGAGACAUACCAUACAAAAAAAUCCAUUCGUAACAUACGAUAUUUGUAUACAGAAAUACAAGGAACACGAAAUGUACAUGUUUAUACAUGAAAUACAUUAGAUACUUCGAUGUAUAUAGAUACACACUACGUACUAAGUCUAAUAAUUGUUAACGCGAACUCAAGUGAAUUUUCGGCAGUUUUCAUUUUUUCGUUCUUGUUUUCUAUUUUUUUUUCUCUCUUUUUUUCAAUUGUUCAUGUUAAAAAUUUUUAAUUUUCUGAUUUUUAUUCUAUUAUCAUCUUAUAUUCGAUUCAAUGUUGAUUUAUGCCACACUAAUCGUCUCAUCUCUAUUUCGUUCAUUAGUUCCUUUCUCAUUUUGUACAAAAAGAAAACAACGAGCAAUAUUACUUUAACGGUGCAGAAAAUCUAGGAGAAAAAAAAUAUAAGUGUAUCGAUUUCGAAUGAUAUGUGAACUUUUUCAAACAUGUAAUGGGGACAAAUUUCUGUAUGUAAAACUAUGCUCGAUUGAAAUAUAAAUGUGAGAACAUAGUGGAAAAUACUACAAAAUAUUGGAAAAAUAAUAAUAAUAUGUAUGGAUCAAUAAAAAUUUAAACUUCAAUUUUCAUCAAUUUUCAUAAUCAAAGAUAUUUUAACGAAGUAUAAAAAAAUAAAGAAAGAUGUUCUCAUUACGAUUUUUUAAGAUUGCAAAUCAUUCGAGUUCUGUGCACAAUUCUAUUCUACAACCGCAUGAAAAUGUUAAAACUCAACAGCACAUUUAUACACAGAACACACAAUACAUACGCGCACGACGUUGUGUGAAAUUACAAUGCGCGCUCGAUAUGAAUGUACGAGGACGUUUUAGGAUGGUUCAAUGUUGUUUUCUUGCAUGGUGUACCAAUCAGAAACAGCGUGAAUUUUAAAGCACGUGGCACACAUACACGAGAUACACCAACGUAUGCUAGGUUGUUAAAGAAAUUCGUCCAUAGCGUUGAUGCAUCUCUCAAGUAUAUGUCUUUUCGUGUUUUACGAUCGCAGCGCUACCUCAUUGGCUUGGUGUUCUGUGUCGUGACACAAAUGACGCCUUAAGAUUUCUCUUUCGAUACACAUUAAUAUAUUAAAAAGUUCUGAGGAGUUAAUCAGAAAAUCAAUACUAAUUGAUGUAUCGAAAUUUUAUUGAUAUGAAAAUAAAAAAAUCAUGAAUCACGAAAUAUUCUGAUCUCUCGAUCAACAUUUUGUAUAGAAUUUGAUCGACGAACGGAAUACCAAGCAAGUGCGUUUGGAAACUGGACGCGAGAUGGUAUACUCUCGCUUUUCGGGCAUGAAAAAGGAACUCUCGGAAGGUGAUAAAUAAUUUCGUAUUUUUUACAUGGAAAUGUAGCUUCUCUGCGUUGAAACGUAUAUUAAAUACGCGUAUACACAUAUAUACACACGGUACCGACGGAGUGCCUGCGAUUUUCGAAGAUUUUAAUGAACGUGGAGAAGAGGAGGCGCGAGCUAUACGUGAAUCACGAGAUGCAGGGAAAACGUAACCGUGCGAGAGAACGACGAAACGAGUUCUAUACGCGUGUGUUUCGACAAUUACGCCUACGUGCGUGUUAAUGUUAACGUUUAAAAAAAAGAAAACGAAAAAAAAAAAAUAUGGAUGUGUAACGAACACUAUUUCAGAGAGUUACGAUUGUAAAUCGAGGAAAAGAAAGAAAGAAAAAGAGGAUGAAGGAUACAUUGUAAAUAGUAUAAAUAGCACACGCGCAGAAGUAUGUUUAAGCGGAAAUAAAAGAUGAUAUAAUAGGUAUAAUGUGAAGAAAAUAUACAUAUAUAAGAUAUUAUUAUAUAUUAUAUAUAAACAAGAAGUAUAUAUAUAAGAUUAUUAUAUAUAUUUACCGUGGUAA